RNAcentral lists this ribosomal RNA (379 nucleotides) under uncultured bacterium. RNAcentral describes it as "partial 16S ribosomal RNA". It matches the Rfam family "Bacterial small subunit ribosomal RNA", at positions 338 to 734 of the family's 1533-position model. The record is from RNAcentral.
CCUACGGGAGGCAGCAGUGGGGAAUAUUGCACAAUGGGGGAAACCCUGAUGCAGCGACGCCGCGUGAAGGACGAAGUAUUUCGGUAUGUAAACCUCUGUCAGCAGGGAAGAAAAUGACGGUACCUGACCAAGAAGCCCCGGCUAACUACGUGCCAGCAGCCGCGGUAAUACGUAGGGGGCAAGCGUUAUCCGGAUUUACUGGGUGUAAAGGGAGCGUAGACGGCCGUGCAAGUCUGGUGUGAAAGCCCGGGGCUCAACCCCCGGACUGCAGUGGAAACUGUGAGGCUGGAGUGCAGGAGAGGUAAGUGGAAUUCCUAGUGUAGCGGUGAAAUGCGUAGAUAUUAGGAGGAACACCAGUGGCGAAGGCGGCUUACUGGAC